Molecule: long non-coding RNA, 1093 nt
Filed under: Homo sapiens (human)
Lineage: Eukaryota; Metazoa; Chordata; Mammalia; Primates; Hominidae
Description: non-protein coding LINC00609:9
Source: RNAcentral
AGAGAAGGUCCUGCUGUCUAUGGGCAAGCCUGAGCACAGAGGCUGCUCUGCUGGUGGGGGUGGGGUCACUUCUCUCAGCCCCAGACUGUCAGCUCUCAGGAUUAUCCACCUCGGCUCCUGGUUGCAGCAACUGCUGUGGCAGUAUGUGGAGCGAGCACCUCUGGCUCCCAACUUCUCCUGACUGAGCUGGCCACUCGCUUCCUUCUCCUCUGUGCCUCAGGCGCUUGCUGAGACUUCUCUGUUGGACUCUAGUGCUCUCUCCUGGAUGUUCUAUUCGAGCUCUGCCGCACUAAGCUCUCUACAUGGCCGAGGCACCAGACCAGAAUGCGCCCUUUCGACAGGCAGAGAGAGCCAAAGGGGAAAAGAGCUGAGUCAAGGCUGCCAAGUUCCUGCUUCCAGCCCUACCAGCCGGUCACUCGCGCCUUGCAAUGAGGAAACCAGGAGUCCUAUCUAGAGCCUUUCCAUAGUUGUGGGAAAGAAGAUGGGUAAAGUUAUUGUUAAUCUACAGAGGAAGGAAUGAUGCCAAGUUUUUCAAGGCUUCCAGAGUCACAGGAGGAGUCACUUGGUAAAUCCAGGAGCAGAAACCAGGUUAAGUGACUAGCCUAAGGUAAGAGCCAGAUUUGGAGCUUGGAAUCUGAUAGCCCUUAGGGUGCUUUAUUCCCUGAGCCAAUCCACACUUCUACCUCAGUAAAGGAAUCAACUGAGGGCUCAGCUUUUCCUCUGCAAGAAACCUGCUCUCUGGGACAUGUUCGCUUCCUGGAUGUUCUGACUAAUUUAAACUAUGGUUAAUUGAAGACUGAAAUAUUCGGGAAACUAUGACAGGAACAAUUUGCUACGGACAGUUUCCACCUGUACUCUCAAGACUUAGAAGCCAUAUGGAUAGAAUGAAAUAGGAAUUGGUGGUGUCUUGGAAUAUCUGCUUCAGGACGAUAAUGAAACUAAUGAUUUAGGGCAGUAGAAGAAGCCGUGGGAGGAACUUUCACAUUUGGCGAGGAGUGACCACUAAUUGGUCCAGAAGUGGACAUCUGAUAGAGAGAUUAGCCAAUGAGCAGCAAGAGGAGAAGACAGUGUAGAAGCCAAGAGAAGAAGAACG